RNAcentral lists this ribosomal RNA (281 nucleotides) under uncultured archaeon. RNAcentral describes it as "partial 16S rRNA". It matches the Rfam family "Archaeal small subunit ribosomal RNA", at positions 1047 to 1325 of the family's 1478-position model. The record is from RNAcentral.
GAGACCCCUACCUUCAGUUGCUACCAUUACCCGAAAGGCUAAUGGGGCUAAUUGAAGGGACCGCUACCGCUAAGGUGGAGGAAGGAGGGGGCCACGGCAGGUCAGUAUGCCCCGAAACCCUUGGGCCACACGCGGGCUGCAAUGAUAGGUACAGCGGGUUCCGACCUCGAAAGGGGAAGGUAAUCCUUCAAAACCUAUCCCAGUUAUGAUUGAGGGCUGCAACCCGCCCUCAUGAAUCUGGAAUCCGUAGUAAUCGCGUCUCAAAAUGGCGCGGUGAAUAU